This 253-nucleotide ribosomal RNA is filed under the name uncultured bacterium. Its description in RNAcentral is "partial 16S ribosomal RNA". It matches the Rfam family "Bacterial small subunit ribosomal RNA", at positions 524 to 776 of the family's 1533-position model. The record is from RNAcentral.
UACGAAGGGGGCGAGCGUUGUUCGGAAUUACUGGGCGUAAAGGGCGCGUAGGCGGCGACCCAAGUCAGAUGUGAAAGUCCUGGGCUUAACCUGGGGACUGCAUUUGAUACUGGGUUGCUUGAAUUCGGGAGAGGAUAGCGGAAUUCCCAGUGUAGAGGUGAAAUUCGUAGAUAUUGGGAAGAACACCGGUGGCGAAGGCGGCUAUCUGGACCGACAUUGACGCUGAGGCGCGAAAGCAUGGGGAGCGAACAGG